RNAcentral lists this ribosomal RNA (418 nucleotides) under uncultured Methanothermobacter sp. RNAcentral's name for it is "bacterial SSU rRNA". It matches the Rfam family "Archaeal small subunit ribosomal RNA", at positions 330 to 747 of the family's 1478-position model. The record is from RNAcentral. Lineage: Archaea; Methanobacteriati; Methanobacteriota; Methanobacteria; Methanobacteriales; Methanobacteriaceae.
GUGCAGCAGUCGAGAAACCUCCGCAAUGCACGCAAGUGCGACGGGGGAACCCCAAGUGCCACUCUUAACGGGGUGGCUUUUCAGAAGUGUAAAAAGCUUCUGGAAUAAGGGCUGGGCAAGACCGGUGCCAGCCGCCGCGGUAACACCGGCAGCUCAAGUGGUAGCCGCUUUUAUUGGGCCUAAAGCGUCCGUAGCCGGUCUGAUAAGUCUCUGGUGAAAUCCCACAGCUUAACUGUGGGAAUUGCUGGAGAUACUAUCAUGACUCGAGGUCGGGAGAGGCUGGAGGUACUCCCAGGGUAGGGGUGAAAUCCUGUAAUCCUGGGAGGACCACCUGUGGCGAAGGCGUCCAGCUGGAACGAACCUGACGGUGAGGGACGAAAGCCAGGGGCGCGAACCGGAUUAGAUACCCACGUAGUCC